CCUGGCUCUUAUAAAUGUGGCUCCAGGAGUUAGGUUUAGUCAAGCAGUCAUCACAGGAGCUUUUCCCAGAGCCUGAACAGUGACUUGUGGUAUCUUCAGCUUUCAUCAGAAGAGACAUGGGCUUCUUCAAAUUAUCUGCUGUCUUCUUGCUCUCACUCUUGCUGUGGGAGGUGCACAGUGACAGCAAGCCAAUUUUGUGUCCUCCGAACAGCUCUCCUGGAGCCGUUUCACCGUGUGCAAAGACCUGCGCCAACUUCUAUUAUCCUCCUCCAGAUGUUUGCCCUGGGAAGCCAAUUCAAUCCUGUAAAUGUCACGACGAAUUCCUGGCUCAGGUCGGGACUUCUGGGAAAACUGUAAAGUGCGUCAAAAAAGAAGACUGCACCUGUGGUCCCAACCAGCACUAUGACCCCUGCGAAUACAAUUGCCAACCAACAUGUGAAGAACCAAUAGUCCGAGCCUGUAUAAAAAUGUGUGUUCCAGGAUGUGUCUGUGAUAAGAAUUAUUUUCAAUCGGGAAAAAAGUGUAUAAAGCUAACAGAUUGUAAAAAAAAUUAACUCAACCCCACUAUUCUGCAGCCAGUAUUAGGCUCUGAGAAUCAAUGGAAUUAUAUAUGUUUAAAUGUGUAUAGCAGAUGAAGCAGAGCUGAACGUGCUACUAAGCUGCUAUUUCUUCCAUCCACUGUGAUACUGUAAAUGUUCCUGUAGUUCUAUGGAAGAUCCACAUCAUAGUAUCAUCAGCAGUUAGCAGGUUGAGCUCUGCUGGAUUCCUGAAGGCUCAUCCUCCAUCGUAUCGCUGCUUUGCUUCUGUAAACGCAAUAACUGGAUGCAUUAGAUCCCAGUAAGUGUGCGCAAUAAUGCCGCUAUAGCUCAUCUUUCCUGAUACAAUGUUACAAUAAAAGUCACCUUUAAGGAA
This is a long non-coding RNA of Bufo gargarizans (Asiatic toad), 912 nucleotides long. RefSeq lists it as uncharacterized. Lineage: Eukaryota; Metazoa; Chordata; Amphibia; Anura; Bufonidae. The record is from RefSeq and is a predicted model, not a curated record. The transcript is spliced from 4 exons.